UAAGUUUUACUCUCCCCACACACCCCAUAGUCCUACAACCUAGGGUUCCUCUGUUCUUCUUCUGCUUCUUCAUCUUCUUCCAACCCAACAACACCUCAGAAAAUUCACAUUCCCCCAAACACCCUUCUUCCUCGCGAUCCCCAUGGCGAAAACGAGGCCAGGAAGAAAGGACUUGGACUCCUACACCAUAAGAGGAACCAACAAGAUCGUGCGAGCUGGUGACUGCGUUUUGAUGCGGCCCCAGGACACUACGAAGCCUCCUUACGUGGCGCGCGUGGAGAAGAUCGAGCAGGACAACAGGAACAACGUGAAGGUGCGUGUGAGGUGGUACUAUAGGCCUGAAGAGUCGAUUGGGGGUCGAAGGCAGUUUCAUGGGGCUAAGGAACUUUUUCUGUCUGACCACUAUGAUGUGCAGAGUGCUCACACCAUUGAAGGGAAGUGUGUAGUGCACUCUUUCAAGAACUACACUAAGCUUGAGAAUGUGGGUGCUGAGGAUUACUAUUGUAGAUUUGAGUACAAGGCUGCUACUGGGGCUUUCACCCCUGACCGUGUUGCUGUGUAUUGCAAGUGUGAGAUGCCUUAUAACCCGGAUGACCUUAUGGUACAAUGUGAAGGGUGCAAGGACUGGUAUCAUCCUGCCUGUGUGGGCAUGACUAUUGAAGAAGCAAAGAAACUAGACCAUUUUGUAUGUUCCGAAUGUUCAUCUGAUGAUGAUAUGAAAAAACCCCAUCCUACAUUUUCUACAUCACCGGGACCUGAUGGCAAGUUUCCCUUUUGCGAAGACACGGGGAGGGGAAUGGGGACACAUUGCUGAGGAAGGGAUGGCUGGUUUAACAUAUGGUGUAGCAUUCAGAGUUUGAUGGAAAAAUUUAUAUUUUUUCUUGUUUUAAAAAGUUACCCUUUAUGCAGCUUGUUUUUCACCGGUGGAGCCGAAACGGCGGAAGAGAUGACGAUAGGGCGGUAGUAACCUAUGAGGCGUGAGUGACUCUUGCUGAAUUUGGGUGGCUCUAUGUAGCUUUUGUGUGAUGUACAGCUUCUUCAAGAGGCUAUAAACAUUUUAUGUAUUUGACUCAGCUUAUGUAUGUAUUCAGUCUUAGAUUCUAUGACACAUUCAUCUCUUUUCCCCUUCUCCACCAAGACAACUCCAAUCCAAGUGUUAAUUCUUGAGAUGAAAUCAAACCUUUAAAACCAA
This is an RNA transcript of Cajanus cajan (pigeon pea), 1192 nucleotides long. It is a transcript of the gene named chromatin remodeling protein EBS, with no coding region annotated. The record is from RefSeq and is a predicted model, not a curated record. NCBI's taxonomy places the organism in Eukaryota, Viridiplantae, Streptophyta, Magnoliopsida, Fabales, Fabaceae.